CAUGUAGGCGGACUAUCUAGUGUCUUGUGAAAUCCCUCGGCUUAACCGAGGAACUGCAGGGCAUACUGGUAGUCUUGAGACAAGUAGGGGUGCGUGGAACUCUGGGUGGAGCGGUGAAAUGCGUAGAUAUCCAGAGGAACGCCAGCGGAGAAAUCGGCGCACUGGGCUUGUUCUGACGCUGAGAUGCGAAAGCGUGGGGAGCGAACAGGAUUAGAUACCCUGGUAGUCC
This 229-nucleotide ribosomal RNA is filed under the name uncultured bacterium. Its description in RNAcentral is "partial 16S ribosomal RNA". It matches the Rfam family "Bacterial small subunit ribosomal RNA", at positions 568 to 796 of the family's 1533-position model. The record is from RNAcentral.